CACGUAGGGGGCAAGCGUUGUCCGGAUUUAUUGGGCGUAAAGAGCUCGUAGGCGGCUCAGUAAGUCAGGUGUGAAACCUCCAGGCUCAACCUGGAGACGCCACCUGAUACUGCUGUGGCUAGAGUCCGGUAGGGGAGCGUGGAAUUCCUGGUGUAGCGGUGAAAUGCGCAGAUAUCAGGAGGAACACCAGCGGCGAAGGCGGCGCUCUGGGCCGGAACUGACGCUGAGACGCGAAAGCGUGGGGAGCGAACAGG
This 254-nucleotide ribosomal RNA is filed under the name uncultured bacterium. Its description in RNAcentral is "partial 16S ribosomal RNA". It matches the Rfam family "Bacterial small subunit ribosomal RNA", at positions 524 to 776 of the family's 1533-position model. The record is from RNAcentral.